This 492-nucleotide ribosomal RNA is filed under the name uncultured bacterium. RNAcentral describes it as "partial 16S ribosomal RNA". It matches the Rfam family "Bacterial small subunit ribosomal RNA", at positions 29 to 507 of the family's 1533-position model. The record is from RNAcentral.
AGUGAACGCUGGCGGUAGGCCUAACACAUGCAAGUCGAACGGCAGCACAGUAAGAGCUUGCUCUUACGGGUGGCGAGUGGCGGACGGGUGAGGAAUACAUCGGAAUCUACUUUUUCGUGGGGGAUAACGUAGGGAAACUUACGCUAAUACCGCAUACGACCUACGGGUGAAAGCAGGGGAUCUUCUGACCUUGCGCGAUUGAAUGAGCCGAUGUCGGAUUAGCUAGUUGGCGGGGUAAAGGCCCACCAAGGCGACGAUCCGUAGCUGGUCUGAGAGGAUGAUCAGCCACACUGGAACUGAGACACGGUCAAGACUCCUACGGGAGGCAGCAGUGGGGAAUAUUGGACAAUGGGCGCAAGCCUGAUCCAGCCAUACCGCGUGGGUGAAGAAGGCCUUCGGGUUGUAAAGCCCUUUUGUUGGGAAAGAAAAGCAGCAGGUUAAUACCCCGCUGUUCUGACGGUACCCAAAGAAUAAGCACCGGCUAACUUCGUG